GAUGAACGCUGGCGGCGUGCCUAAUACAUGCAAGUCGAGCGAACGGACGAGAAGCUUGCUUCUCUGAUGUUAGCGGCGGACGGGUGAGUAACACGUGGAUAACCUACCUAUAAGACUGUGAUAACUUCGGGAAACCGGAGCUAAUACCGGAUAAUAUUUUGAACCGCAUGUUUCAAAAGUGAAAGACGGUCUUGCUGUCACUUAUAGAUGGAUCCGCGCUGCAUUAGCUAGUUGGUAAGGUAACGGCUUACCAAGGCAACGAUGCAUAGCCGACCUGAGAGGGUGAUCGGCCACACUGGAACUGAGACACGGUCCAGACUCCUACGGGAGGCAGCAGUAGGGAAUCUUCCGCAAUGGGCGAAAGCCUGACGGAGCAACGCCGCGUGAGUGAUGAAGGUCUUCGGAUCGUAAAACUCUGUUAUUAGGGAAGAACAUAUGUGUAAGUAACUGUGCACAUCUUGACGGUACCUAAUCAGAAAGCCACGGCUAACUACGUG
RNAcentral lists this ribosomal RNA (497 nucleotides) under uncultured bacterium. Its description in RNAcentral is "partial 16S ribosomal RNA". It matches the Rfam family "Bacterial small subunit ribosomal RNA", at positions 28 to 507 of the family's 1533-position model. The record is from RNAcentral.